Mesocricetus auratus (golden hamster) is the source of this 664-nucleotide non-coding RNA. NCBI's taxonomy places the organism in Eukaryota, Metazoa, Chordata, Mammalia, Rodentia, Cricetidae. The record is from the annotation of a RefSeq genome assembly.
UGUCCUUGUACAGUCACUUAGUACACAGGUCCUCACCAUGACAUGGAGCUGCAUUAUUUUCUUCUUGGUAUCAGUAAUUACCGGUGUCCAUUCCCAGGUCAAGCUGCAGCAGUCCGGUUCUGAACUAGGGAAACCUGGGGCCUCAGUGAAGCUGUCCUGCAAGACUUCAGGCUACACUUUCACAAGUUACUAUAUUUCCUGGGUGAAGCAGAAGCCUGGAGAAAGCCUGCAGUGGAUAGGAUAUGUUUAUGGUGGAGGUGGUGGUACAAGCUACAAUCAAAAAUUACAGGGCAAGGCCACACUGACUGCAGAUAAAUCCUCCAGCACAGCCUACAUGGAGCUCAGCAGCCUGACAUCUGAGGAUUCUGCCAUCUAUUACUGUGCAAGACACACAGUGUUGCAACCACAUCCUGAGUGUGACAGAAACCGUGGAGAAGCAGGAAGCUGCCCUAGGCCUGAGAUGACAGAAAAGAUAAUCCUGGGUGUUUAUUCAGAAAUAUUCAAUCUGAGUGUCCCUUUGUCACUUUGCACAUUCCUACCAGUUUCUCACAUGAGUAGAUACUGCUUUAGGAUGCCUCAGUGUACUCCAUACCUUGACAAUUUGUUCACCAGUGACUACCUCUCUUGACACGAUUCUUCAUUAAUAAAACAGUCAAUUUGAAAA